GUUCCCAGGCUAGGGGUUGAAGCGGAGCUACAGCUGCCAACUUACGCCACAGCCACAGCAACAUAGAAUCUGAGCCACAUCUGCAACCUACACCACAGUUCAUGGCAAUACUGGAUCCUUAACCCACUGAGUGAGGCCAGGGAUCAAACCCAUGUUCUCCCGGAUACUGGUUGGGUUCGUUACUGCUGAGCCAUGAUAGGAACUCUAUGCUCCCAGAAAAUUUGACUGAAUUGCCUGGGACCUUCCUUAACUCUGCCCUGUUGCUUUUUUCCCCCAACAAUACUCCCUAAAUCUUCAGUAAGUCACAAAGACAGAACAUGACAAGUUUCAACAAAUUCAUUAGGGCUCUUUUUGUCCUGUGUGUUGUCUAUCCUCUCCUCAAUAGAAAUUAGAUGACCAUAAAUGAGCUAUGGUAAUGACAGGCAGCCAAAGAAACUGAACAAAAUAUGACUGGGUGUUCUCAGUCCAAUCCCAUACCCUGCCAUGUACCAAGCUCUGCCAGAGGACUUUACAGGGGAACAAAGACAUAGCUCUUACCCUCCUUCUCUCACUUCUAUCCCAUGUUCUCUGCUUCCAUAGUUCUCAGACUUGUACUAUAACAAGCUAUUAUAUUGUGUGGAGGAAUAUCUCCAUAUUAACCAUGGACUUUACAAAUGAUUCCUCUGGGGACUACAGUAACAAAGUCAAUGUGACAUACAAUUUUAGAAGAGGAAAAACUAGGUUGUUAGCAGGUAGUGCAGAAAUUACUAGUGGCUCUGACCACAUGGAGACUGGAAUUCUGCUCCCAACAUCCCUUCUUUGCUCAUUUAUGGACAGGUUAAAGAGGGGGGAUUGUUCACGCCUGGUGGGACCUAUUUUGGCAGGAAAUACAAAAAAAGAUUACUUCCUAAGGGAUACUUACAUGAGUUUCUUUCUGUUUAUAACACUUAGCAUUCAUUCCUUUUUUAGGACAUAGUAUUUAUGUGUGUGUGCUACUACGAUAUUCCAACAAAGGACAAAUGUGAAAGAGUAUUAUUCCAUGUGACUUAAAAACCUAACCUUUACAACUCCUUCUGAAGGUCAUUCCUCCCAUGACUAGGAGUUAGCUGUGCAAGGCCAAGAGUUCUGGCACACUGUAUGAAGAUGCAGCAAAAUCAGGGGCUGAGGCUGCCUUUCAGCAUGCUCAUUGCAGUUUCUUUUGUUCAUUUAUUCAUUCCAUUACUGAGUACCUAUUCUGUUCCCUGCAUUUUGCUAGGACACUGAAGAGCAAUGCUUCUGGGUCUGUCUAUUAGGAGUUGGGUUAAAAAGACAGGUUUCCAGGUCCCACUACAGUCUCCCUGAAUCGGAAUGAUCCAAGAGGAAAGUCAUGGGAAUCUAUACUUUUAACAAGCACUUAAGUGACUCUUACAUGAAUAGUCUGGAAUGGUUGAUUCCUGCCCUGAUGAACUCAUAGGCCUCAUUUUUCUAUGAAUCUAAUUCAUGCAGGUCCUUUCUAGUUGGAUUUCUAGGUGAAAUGAUGUUUUCUCUAUCAGCAGUUUCUAGAUCUCCAUGUUCAAUAAAAUGUCAAACCCACCCAGAAUUCCUUAAAAAGUCAGUAACGUGCAUAUUUAGCCAUGUAAGUCACCAUUUUUCUUUCUUACGCUAUUUCCUUUUUUCCAUAACCAAAUGUUUCAAUGCUGACAGACAGUCCAACCAUCUCAUUAAAUGUGAGUAUCAUUACAGGUUUUUCUAAUGUAACCUUGUUUUUUGACAAAAUACAACUUUCAACAGAAAUUACAUGGGUGAGGUCAGCCGGAGUCCUAUGCAGUGAAAUGGAAUUCUGAAAGGGUUCUGAGGUUCUUAAAAGCCUGAAAGCCUCUGUCCUAUACAUGAACUGCCUAGUGCUUCAGGGAAGACCUAAUAGAGCUUCUGUUUUGCAGACCCAUAGCCCAUGACCCACGGUCAUGCUUGAUGCAUUCCCCCCAGUCACAGCAAAUUUAGAAGGCAAAUCAUUUGUGUCAAUUGUCUUGGGUGGCAACAAAUUAUGACUUGGCUCAGCAAGUUGCUGUCUCUCAAGGCUGCCUACUGUGAGUAAUGACCAAGUACUGGCAUCACACAGGCUGCAAGAUGACUGAGGGAAGGUGCUAGGAGAGAUGAGACAUCACACAGGCUGCAAGAUGACUGAAGGAAGGUGCUGGGAGAGUUGAGAAUGUGUCUCUUGCAUCUGUUUUCCUCCCAUAAACUGGUGCCUCUGCAGCUGCAAGCGUUGUCAUUUGUCAUCUUUUUUUUCCGAAAGGCUGUGUUGUCUUAUCUGAUGUUGAGAUUCUGCCACACAGCUUUGAACACUGAAGCUCAGGAAGGAGAAAUCAGUUGGAAAAUUGUUCCUGUCUCUUGCUAUGCUUGACAUUUCCACACUGAUAAGGUACAGCUAAAUAUUGACUUUUUGGUUAAGUUCGAAUUAGGUGUCUGGUCCGUGAGCAUUGAUUGUGAACCAUUAUCUCUCUUCUCCACUUGCCACUGAGUUCUCUUACAAACACAGAAAGGACAAAGGGGGAAAACUGUUGCCUAAAGUGUUGUCACUAAUUACCUGGAGGUCUUUUCUGAGCUGUGAUAAAAAUCAUCAUUGACUUUAGAGACAUGGGGACAUUUGUGUUGAAGAUGGUAUUGGUGAACAUUAGGACAUAGUAAAAAUCAAAUUUUUACACUUAUAGGUUAUUCACAUAUGCCUUCAAAUUUAUGCAUUGAAGAAAAUGCCACCAUAUUAUCACUAUAAGUGCACAAACCAGAUAACUGGCUGACAUUAAUUAUUUAAAUGUAAUAUCAAGGCCAUACUAAAAGCAAUGUGUGAAGUUCUCUGUGCUCCAUUUAGCCAACACAGAACCAAUCGGUGGAUUAGGCUUCCUUUUUCCAUUCUGCUUGAAAUAGAACAGUUAUGAGAAUCUCAAAUAAGGAUGAUUUUUGCCUUUUGUGACUUUCUGCAUUGUCUCCCAAAGGAGACUGUGAAUUCCUUGAAAGCAGGAUGAUCCUUGAUUGAUUUCUCUAGACGAAAGUAUUCCUAGUC
RNAcentral lists this long non-coding RNA (3019 nucleotides) under Sus scrofa (pig). RNAcentral describes it as "lncRNA (ENSSSCG00000056483.1)". Lineage: Eukaryota; Metazoa; Chordata; Mammalia; Artiodactyla; Suidae. The record is from RNAcentral.